ACCUGAAAAGGAUAACUGCGGAAAUUCUGGAGCUAAUACAUGCGACUAUACUCCAACGCAAGGCGGGGUGCAAUUAUUAGAACAGACCAAACGUUUUCGGACGUUGUUUGUUGACUCUGAAUACCGUCGUUUACUGUCAGUUUCGACUGACUCUAUCCGAGAAGGGUGUCUGCCCUUUCAACUAGAUGGUAAUCUAUUGGACUACCAUGGUUGUUACGGGUAACGGAGAAUUAGGGUUCGACUCCGGAGAGGGAGCCUUAGAAACGGCUACCACGUCCAAGGAAGGCAGCAGGCGCGAAACUUAUCCACUGUUGAGUAUGAGAUAGUGACUAAAAAUAUAAAGACUCAUCCUUUUGGAUGAGUUAUUUCAAUGAGUUGAAUAUAAAUUAUUCUUCGAGUAUCAAGGAGAGGGCAAGUCUGGUGCCAGCAGCCGCGGUAAUUCCAGCUCUCCUAGUGUAUCUCGUUAUUGCUGCGGUUAAAAAGCUCGUAGUUGGAUCUAGGUUACGUGCCGCAGUUCGCAAUUUGCGUUAACUGUGGUCGUGACUUCUAAUUUGCUGGUUUGAGGUUGGGUUCGCCCUUCAACUGCCAGCAGGUUUACCUUGAAUAAAUCAGAGUGCUCAAUACAGGCGCUUGCUUGAAUAGCUCAUCAUGGAAUAAUGAAACAGGACUUCGGUUCUUUUUGUUGGUUCUAGAAUUGAUCUAAUGGUUAAGAGGGACAAACCGGGGGCAUUCGUAUCAUUACGCGAGAGGUGAAAUUCGUGGACCGUAGUGAGACGCCCAAUAGCGAAAGCAUUUGCCAAGAAUGUCUUCAUUAAUCAAGAACGAAAGUCAGAGGUUCGAAGGCGAUUAGAUACCGCCCUAGUUCUGACCGUAAACGAUGCCAUCUCGCGAUUCGGAGGGUUCAUGCCCUACCGAGGAGCUACCCGGAAACGAAAGUCUUUCGGUUCCGGGGGUAGUAUGGUUGCAAAGCUGAAACUUAAAGAAAUUGACGGAAGGGCACCACAAGGCGUGGAGCUUGCGGCUUAAUUUGACUCAACACGGGAAAACUCACCCGGUCCGGACACUAUUAAGGACUGACAGAUUGAAAGCUCUUUCUCGAUUUGGUGGGUUGGUGGUGCAUGGGCCGUUUCUUAGUUGG
Molecule: non-coding RNA, 1138 nt
Organism: Caenorhabditis japonica
Lineage: Eukaryota; Metazoa; Nematoda; Chromadorea; Rhabditida; Rhabditidae
Source: Rfam